Molecule: ribosomal RNA, 182 nt
Filed under: uncultured bacterium
Lineage: Bacteria
Description: partial 16S ribosomal RNA
Rfam family: Bacterial small subunit ribosomal RNA
Source: RNAcentral
CACGAAGCUGGAAUCGCUAGUAAUCGCGGAUCAGAAUGUCGCGGUGAAUACGUUCCCGGGUCUUGUACACACCGCCCGUCACACCAUGGGAGUCGGGAAUGCCCGAAGUCAGUGACCCAACCUAUUGGAGGGAGCUGCCGAAGGCAGGUCUGAUAACUGGGGUGAAGUCGUAACAAGGUACC